GACGAACGCUGGCGGCGUGCUUAACACAUGCAAGUCGAACGGAAAGGCCCCUUUGGGGGUACUCGAGUGGCGAACGGGUGAGUAACACGUGAGUAACCUGCCCUUGACUUCGGGAUAACUUCAGGAAACUGGGGCUAAUACCGGAUAGGAAUCCUUGCUGCAUGGUGGGGGUUGGAAAGCUUCGGCGGUUUUGGAUGGACUCGCGGCUUAUCAGCUUGUUGGUGGGGUAGUGGCUUACCAAGGCUUUGACGGGUAGCCGGCCUGAGAGGGCGACCGGCCACAUUUGGACUGAGAUACGGCCCAGACUCCUACGGGAGGCAGCAGUGGGGAAUAUUGCACAAUGGGCGGAAGCCUGAUGCAGCAACGCCGCGUGCGGGAUGACGGCCUUCGGGUUGGAAACCGCUUUCAGCAGGGGCGAAGCUUGUGGUGACGGUACCUGCAGAAGAAGCACCGGCUAACUACGUG
Molecule: ribosomal RNA, 465 nt
Filed under: uncultured bacterium
Lineage: Bacteria
Description: partial 16S ribosomal RNA
Rfam family: Bacterial small subunit ribosomal RNA
Source: RNAcentral